AUUGAACGCUGGCGGCAUGCUUUACACAUGCAAGUCGGACGGCAGCACAGAGAAGCUUGCUUCUUGGGUGGCGAGUGGCGAACGGGUGAGUAAUAUAUCGGAACGUACCGAGUAAUGGGGGAUAACUAAUCGAAAGAUUAGCUAAUACCGCAUAUUCUCUGAGGAGGAAAGCAGGGGACCUUCGGGCCUUGCGUUAUUCGAGCGGCCUAUAUCUGAUUAGCUAGUUGGUGGGGUAAAGGCCUACCAAGGCGACGAUCAGUAGCGGGUCUGAGAGGAUGAUCCGCCACACUGGGACUGAGACACGGCCCAGACUCCUACGGGAGGCAGCAGUGGGGAAUUUUGGACAAUGGGCGCAAGCCUGAUCCAGCCAUGCCGCGUGUCUGAAGAAGGCCUUCGGGUUGUAAAGGACUUUUGUCAGGGAAGAAAAGGCUGUUGCUAAUAUCAAUAGCUGAUGACGGUACCUGAAGAAUAAGCACCGGCUAACUACGUG
This 490-nucleotide ribosomal RNA is filed under the name uncultured bacterium. RNAcentral describes it as "partial 16S ribosomal RNA". It matches the Rfam family "Bacterial small subunit ribosomal RNA", at positions 30 to 507 of the family's 1533-position model. The record is from RNAcentral.